CCUACAUUAGCUAAAACGUUUGAUAGGCUUAAAACACUCUUAUAAACCUCUGAUAAAAAACGUUAUUCAUAAUCGUUUAUAAACCUUUGAUAGCUAAAACAGAGUUUAAUAUUUUCUUUCCACAGACUAUACAAAAAGAAUGAACGAAAACAGCUUUUUUGGUGAUUUAACUUGGUGGACCAUGUAAAAUCAUAGACAAAUCGCAGAAAAAAAAAACAAAAAAUUGGCAGCUGUGACGUUUUACUUACUGACAUUGACAUUUGGCACGAAAAUUUAAUAAAGUUUUCGGUUUUUUCGAUCAACUCCCAAGUUUUAUCAAACUUUUAUAAAACUUGGGAUUGUAUGUUCUGGAUUCUGUACCUCUUACCCUGUACUCUGCAAUAAGCUCUUACGACGACCCGGCUAGUUACAUCGGAUACUAAUUAUGUCCAUGACGAAGGAGAACAGACCGCCUAAAAGGCAACGAUCAGAAAACUGGUUGGAGGAAGAUAAGUAUUUGCUGAAAGAGUUGGUGAAAGAAAGAGUAAAUGCAAUCGAAAAUAAAAAUACAGACACUAACACGAAUAAACGGAAGGUUGCGGCUUGGGCUGAUUUACAAACAACGUUUAAUUCAAUGUGCGCUGGUAUGAACCGCUCCAUUACCCAGUUAAAAUCGCAAUGGAGCCUCAUAAAAAUCAGUGCGAAGAAAGACAAGACCAUUGCUAGGCAGGCUCAAAUUAAAACUGGCGGUGGUCCACCAUUAUCAGUGCCUGACGAUAGGGCUGAUGAUAUAGCAUCUUGGUUGCCCAAUGAAUUUGUAGUCGAUGUUAACAGAUUUGACUCGGACUCAAAUAAAAGUGAAUUAAUUAACAUUCAAGAGGAGGAAUCAACUCAAAAUACGCAAGAUCAGGAAUUGAUAAAUAAUGAAGAAAUCCAAUAUGAAUUGGUGGUACUUGAUGAAGAAAUAGAAGAUACACAUGCUUGUACUACUAGAGGCAUAUUGGAAGAUAAAGAAAAUAAAAAAGUAGAGGCAAAAGAAAAUAAAGCAAAACCUAAUUUUAAAGCACCAGCAAUCAAAAA
Ostrinia nubilalis (European corn borer) is the source of this 1059-nucleotide long non-coding RNA. RefSeq lists it as uncharacterized. NCBI's taxonomy places the organism in Eukaryota, Metazoa, Arthropoda, Insecta, Lepidoptera, Crambidae. The transcript has 3 exons. The record is from RefSeq and is a predicted model, not a curated record.